RNAcentral lists this ribosomal RNA (253 nucleotides) under uncultured bacterium. Its description in RNAcentral is "partial 16S ribosomal RNA". It matches the Rfam family "Bacterial small subunit ribosomal RNA", at positions 524 to 776 of the family's 1533-position model. The record is from RNAcentral.
GACGGAGGGUGCAAGCGUUGCUCGGAAUCAUUGGGCGUAAAGGGUGCGUAGGCGGCCCCGCAAGUCUGACGUGAAAGCCCAGGGCUUAGCUCUGGAAGGGCGUUAGAAACUGCGGGGCUCGAGUGCCGGAGGGGAGAGUGGAAUUCCUGGUGUAGCGGUGGAAUGCGCAGAUAUCAGGAGGAACACCGGUGGCGAAGGCGGGAUCCUGGGCCAGUACUGACGCUGAGGAGCGAAAGCGUGGGGAGCAAACAGG